Rattus norvegicus (Norway rat) is the source of this 87-nucleotide non-coding RNA. RefSeq annotates it as microRNA 124-3. The transcript has a single exon. NCBI's taxonomy places the organism in Eukaryota, Metazoa, Chordata, Mammalia, Rodentia, Muridae. The record is from RefSeq and is marked provisional.
UGAGGGCCCCUCUGCGUGUUCACAGCGGACCUUGAUUUAAUGUCUAUACAAUUAAGGCACGCGGUGAAUGCCAAGAGAGGCGCCUCC